RNAcentral lists this ribosomal RNA (254 nucleotides) under uncultured bacterium. RNAcentral's name for it is "partial 16S ribosomal RNA". It matches the Rfam family "Bacterial small subunit ribosomal RNA", at positions 524 to 776 of the family's 1533-position model. The record is from RNAcentral.
UACGUAGGGUCCGAGCGUUGUCCGGAAUUAUUGGGCGUAAAGGGCUCGUAGGCGGUUUGUCGCGUCGGGAGUGAAAACUCAGGGCUCAACCCUGAGCGUGCUUUCGAUACGGGCAGACUGGAGGUAUGCAGGGGAGAACGGAAUUCCUGGUGUAGCGGUGAAAUGCGCAGAUAUCAGGAGGAACACCGGUGGCGAAGGCGGGGUCUCUGGGCCGAAAUUGACGCUGAGGAGCGAAAGCGUGGGGAGCAAACAGG